AGAGUUUGAUCCUGGCUCAGGAUGAACGCUAGCGACAGGCUUAACACAUGCAAGUCGAGGGGCAGCGGGGGAGUAGCAAUACUCCCGCCGGCGACCGGCGCACGGGUGAGUAACACGUAUGAAACCUGCCCGUAGCAGGGGGAUAAGCGGAAGAAAUUCCGUCUAAUACCGCGUAACAACCCUUGGAGGCAUCUCCUCGGGUUUAAAGGGAGCGAUUCCGGCUACGGAUGGUCAUGCGUCGCAUUAGCUUGUUGGCGGGGUAACGGCCCACCAAGGCGACGAUGCGUAGGGGUUCUGAGAGGAAGGUCCCCCACACUGGUACUGAGACACGGACCAGACUCCUACGGGAGGCAGCAGUGAGGAAUAUUGGUCAAUGGCCGCAGGGCUGAACCAGCCAAGUCGCGUGAGGGAUGACGGUCCUAUGGAUUGUAAACCUCUUUUGUCAGGGAGCAAAGGGCGUCACGUGUGGCGUUUUGCGAGUACCUGAAGAAAAAGCAUCGGCUAACUCCGUGCCAGCAGCCGCGGUAAUACGGAGGAUGCGAGCGUUAUCCGGAUUUAUUGGGUUUAAAGGGUGCGCAGGCGGAAUGUCAAGUCAGCGGUAAAAUUUCGGGGCUCAACCCCGUCGUGCCGUUGAAACUGGCGUUCUUGAGUGAGCGAGAAGUAUGCGGAAUGCGUGGUGUAGCGGUGAAAUGCAUAGAUAUCACGCAGAACUCCGAUUGCGAAGGCAGCAUACCGGCGCUCAACUGACGCUCAUGCACGAAAGCGUGGGUAUCGAACAGGAUUAGAUACCCUGGUAGUCCACGCAGUAAACGAUGAAUACUAACUGUCCGGGCAGAAUGAUGUCUGGGUGGUACAGCGAAAGCGUUAAGUAUUCCACCUGGGGAGUACGCCGGCAACGGUGAAACUCAAAGGAAUUGACGGGGGCCCGCACAAGCGGAGGAACAUGUGGUUUAAUUCGAUGAUACGCGAGGAACCUUACCCGGGCUCAAACGACGGAUGGAUGUUUCUGAAAGGAGGCAGUCCUACGGGACAUCCGUCGAGGUGCUGCAUGGUUGUCGUCAGCUCGUGCCGUGAGGUGUCGGCUUAAGUGCCAUAACGAGCGCAACCCCCAUCGCCAGUUACCAGCAAGUAAAGUUGGGGACUCUGGCGAGACUGCCGGCGCAAGCUGUGAGGAAGGCGGGGAUGACGUCAAAUCAGCACGGCCCUUACGUCCGGGGCGACACACGUGUUACAAUGGCAGGUACAGAGAGAUGCGAUGUGGCGACGCAGAGCGGAACUUCAAAGCCUGUCUCAGUUCGGAUUGGAGUCUGCAACCCGACUCCAUGAAGCUGGAUUCGCUAGUAAUCGCGCAUCAGCCACGGCGCGGUGAAUACGUUCCCGGGCCUUGCACACACCGCCCGUCA
RNAcentral lists this ribosomal RNA (1403 nucleotides) under uncultured bacterium. RNAcentral's name for it is "16S ribosomal RNA". It matches the Rfam family "Bacterial small subunit ribosomal RNA". The record is from RNAcentral.